AGAGUUUGAUCCUGGCUCAGAUUGAACGCUGGCGGUAUGCUUAACACAUGCAAGUCGAACGGUAACAGGCCUUCGGGCGCUGACGAGUGGCGGACGGGUGCGUAACGCGUAGGAAUCUGCCUAUUAGUGGGGGACAACGUGGGGAAACUCACGCUAAUACCGCAUACGCCCUACGGGGGAAAGGAGGGGAUCUUCGGACCUUUCGCUAAUAGAUGAGCCUGCGUUGGAUUAGCUAGUUGGUAGGGUAAAGGCCUACCAAGGCGACGAUCCAUAGCUGGUCUGAGAGGACGAUCAGCCACACUGGGACUGAGACACGGCCCAGACUCCUACGGGAGGCAGCAGUGGGGAAUAUUGGACAAUGGGCGCAAGCCUGAUCCAGCAAUACCGCGUGUGUGAAGAAGGCCUGAGGGUUGUAAAGCACUUUUAAUCGGGAGGAACACCUGUCAGCUAAUACCUGGCAGUAUGACAUUACCGAUAGAAAAAGCACCGGUUAACUCCGUGCCAGUAGUUGUGGUAAUACGGAGGGUGCAAGCGUUAAUCGGAAUUACUGGGCGUAAAGCGUGCGUAGGCGGUUAUUUAAGUCAGAUGUGAAAGCCCCGGGCUUAACCUGGGAACUGCAUUUGAUACUGGGUAACUAGAGUUGAGUAGAGGAGAGGGGAAUUUCAGGUGUAGCGGUGAAAUGUGUAGAGAUCUGAAGGAAUAUUAGUGGUGAAGGUGCCUCUCUGGACUCAAACUGACGCUGAGGUACGAAAGCGUGGGUAGUAAACAGGAUUAGAUAUCCUGGUAGUCCACGCCGUAAACGAUGUCAACUAGCCGUUGGUCUUAUUCGUAAGAUUAGUGGCGUAGUUAACGCAUUAAGUUGACCGCCUGGGGAGUACGGCCGCAAGGUUAAAACUCAAAUGAAUUGACGG
This 911-nucleotide ribosomal RNA is filed under the name uncultured bacterium. RNAcentral's name for it is "bacterial SSU rRNA". It matches the Rfam family "Bacterial small subunit ribosomal RNA", at positions 8 to 916 of the family's 1533-position model. The record is from RNAcentral.